UGGCAAGCCCGAAGCGGAGAAGAAUUCUUUCGGAAUCUUUGAGAAGCGGCGUACGGGUGCGGAACACGUGUGCAACCUGCCUUUAUCAGGGGGAUAGCCUUUCGAAAGGAAGAUUAAUACCCCAUAAUAUAAUGAACGGCAUCGUUUAUUAUUGAAAACUCCGGUGGAUAGAGAUGGGCACGCGCAAGAUUAGAUAGUUGGUAGGGUAACGGCCUACCAAGUCAAUGAUCUUUAGGGGGCCUGAGAGGGUGAUCCCCCACACUGGUACUGAGACACGGACCAGACUCCUACGGGAGGCAGCAGUGAGGAAUAUUGGACAAUGGGUGAGAGCCUGAUCCAGCCAUCCCGCGUGAAGGACGACGGCCCUAUGGGUUGUAAACUUCUUUUGUAUAGGGAUAAACCUUUCCACGUGUGGAAAGCUGAAGGUACUAUACGAAUAAGCACCGGCUAACUCCGUGCCAGCAGCCGCGGUAAUACGGAGGGUGCAAGCGUUAUCCGGAUUUAUUGGGUUUAAAGGGUCCGUAGGCGGAUCUGUAAGUCAGUGGUGAAAUCUCACAGCUUAACUGUGAAACUGCCAUUGAUACUGCAGGUCUUGAGUAAAGUAGAAGUGGCUGGAAUAAGUAGUGUAGCGGUGAAAUGCAUAGAUAUUACUUA
RNAcentral lists this ribosomal RNA (654 nucleotides) under Chryseobacterium sp. RBC4. RNAcentral describes it as "bacterial SSU rRNA". It matches the Rfam family "Bacterial small subunit ribosomal RNA", at positions 55 to 703 of the family's 1533-position model. Lineage: Bacteria; Pseudomonadati; Bacteroidota; Flavobacteriia; Flavobacteriales; Weeksellaceae. The record is from RNAcentral.